This 482-nucleotide ribosomal RNA is filed under the name uncultured bacterium. RNAcentral describes it as "partial 16S ribosomal RNA". It matches the Rfam family "Bacterial small subunit ribosomal RNA", at positions 30 to 507 of the family's 1533-position model. The record is from RNAcentral.
AUUGAACGCUGGCGGCAUGCCUUACACAUGCAAGUCGAACGGUAACGGGCCUUCGGGUGCCGACGAGUGGCGAACGGGUGCGUAAUACAUCGGAACGUGCCCGAUCGUGGGGGAUAACGAGGCGAAAGCUUUGCUAAUACCGCAUACGAUCUACGGAUGAAAGCAGGGGACCGCAAGGCCUUGCGCGGACGGAGCGGCCGAUGGCAGAUUGGGUAGUUGGUGGGAUAAAAGCUUACCAAGCCGACGAUCUGUAGCUGGUCUGAGAGGAUGAUCAGCCACACUGGGACUGAGACACGGCCCAGACUCCUACGGGAGGCAGCAGUGGGGAAUUUUGGACAAUGGGCGCAAGCCUGAUCCAGCCAUGCCGCGUGAAGGAUGAAGGCCUUCGGGUUGUAAACUGCUUUUGUACGGAACGAAAAGCCUUCUUUUAAUACAGGAGGGUCAUGACGGUACCGUAAGAAUAAGCACCGGCUAACUACGUG